AGAGGAAGGGUGAAGUAUUUCUGCAGUGUUUCAGUCUCUUCAUAUCUAGCUUCAAACAGCAAGUCUGUUUGCUUUUCUAUCCCAACGGCUUAGCAGGGAGGUCUGCUACUGGCUCUGGUGCAGUUCUGCUGGAACUCCCACAUUGGGACUAAUUGUUUCUCUGUUUAAGCUGCGGGCUCGUUUGAUGAUGAGUGUCAUUGCAGUCCAGUCUGUGAAAAUGGUGACAGCCAACAUGUUGCUGAGUGUCUUCUUUGUUUCAGGUGCUCUGGAUGAUUGUCCUAAAAAAACAUCCCUAUUCAUUACUGCACCAAAGAACAUAGAAGCACUGAGUGGAUCUUGUCUGCUAAUCCCAUGUAACUUCAGGUCUAAACCAGAUCAGGAUUUCAACAGCACAAGAACAACCUUCGGAGUGUGGAUUAAAAAUGAUAUACAUUUUAGCGACAAAACAAAUAAUGUGAUUUUCAACAGUAGUAGGGUGAAUAAUAGAUAUCCAAUGAGUAUUACUGGAGACCUGAGUCAGAAACAAUGCACCACCUUGUUUUCUAGUUUAAUCCCAAGUUACACAGACACAUACUACUUCAGAAUAGAGAA
This is a long non-coding RNA of Etheostoma cragini (Arkansas darter), 591 nucleotides long. RefSeq lists it as uncharacterized. The record is from RefSeq and is a predicted model, not a curated record. NCBI's taxonomy places the organism in Eukaryota, Metazoa, Chordata, Actinopteri, Perciformes, Percidae. The transcript has 3 exons.